GGAGACUGUGGGGCACUCACGAGAAGCCUGGACGUGCUGGAUCCGAUUUGAGCAGGCAGGGCCGGGCAGGUGGGGCGCUCUAGCUCCGUUUCCGGGGAGGCACUUCACCUGCCUAACCUGCACUCAGGAAAGAACCCUGGCAACUAGGAUUAUAUUUUGUGACUCAGUCCUCUGACUACAGGUAACUAGGUAGAGUCACGAGCACCUCUUCAGCAAAGCCCACCUCCCUUUCCCGCUUGAUUCCGCGGCCAUCCUUAUCGAAGACCUUCCAGGUGAACAGGCAGCCAUCCUCAGCAGUAGUCAGCAGGUACUGAUCAUCAAAGCCAAUAGACAAGGUUUGAUUCUGGAGGUGAUGUCUGAGUCAAUAGAUAUUUGGAGUCUGGAGAAAAGGCCAUGCUGAUAAAUUUCUGAACUGGAAAGUCAAAAGUAUUAAGGACUUUGCGCUUCCGGCACGGGAUGGAUGACAGCUCAUAAAUGGUGAUGACAGGUUUCUCCUGCACAAUCUCGGAGAUGGCGAGGUACCGCCGAUUGGGGCUGAUGGACAAGGCCAACAUGCCCUGACUCUUGUCUGAGCCUGCAAACAGAGGGAAAAGGGGAUAGUGAGGGUAGGUUGUGCUUUCACCAAGACUCAAGCAGGCUCAGCAGUGACACUACUGACAGGGGAGAAAGGUGCACGAACACCUAGUUAGCAGUUCCUGGCCAUCCCUCCGUACAACUACUCCUGGGGGGUUAUGAAAAUGAUCAGAUGGGCACCUCACUGAGGAUGAGGUGGGAGAAAUCAAGGAACCCUUCGUGAAGGAAGAGGAGUUGGGAUGGAGGAUGGGAUAUGUGGUGGCAAAAGUUGGAGCAACGUUGUGGAGGUGACAAAGAGUAGAGAGCUGUGGGGGAAUUGGUAGCAGCAGGUAUUGCUGGAGAAAUGUAUGUGAGUCAGGAUGACCAAAGAUGGAUCCGGAAGAGAGGAACAGGUCCAAUCACAGAAGCUUUAGUGCUCUGAGUGGCCAGCACUCAACACUUUUAAAGGCUGGGAUAUUAACUCAGCCUCUCUCAUAUUUAGGUGAUCUAUGUGACAUUUUAGUUAUGAGAUGGAUGCAGAAGUCUGCUGAAGUGGUUUUAUGAUAAAGCUUUAUGUUUUCUUGAAGAUCAAGGGCAGAUGCAUUCUACUCCCUUCUCCUGGAAUAUAGAGGUAAUGUCUCAAGAUAUAGCAGUUUUCUUGCAUUCACGAGGUAAUGAGCAUGAAAAUGAAAGCUGUGGUCCUCUAGAAAGCAGACCCUGAGGCAAAGAUUAAAAUGUAAAUCUUUUUUUUCAGGAAAUUCAAUGAGGGCCACAUUGCAAUUUUCAUGGGCACUAGACACUUUUGUUUACAUAUGUCCCUUCCUCCAUAAAAUAGUACAAAUAUAUUUAUUUUUCUACACUAUUUAAAAAUACAUGCAAUCACACAUUUGAUGACUGCAUUAAUAUAAAGAUGAAUGUGACUCGGGCUGGAUUCACUCUUACAUAUUCAUUAUUGUUAUAUUUACUUUUUCUUAUAACAAAUUUAAAACAUGUUCAUGGGCUCCUAAAGGUAUUGUGAGCCCUAGGCACUGUGCAUAGUGGAAAAGUCUUCUGUGGGUGUGGGGACCUGGGCAGGGAGGAUGUGUGAAGCAGGAGAAGAUGCGCCAGGAAGUGAUGGGCUAGGUCCCCGUCUGAUGGACUCCAUGCUGGGAGGGUCACAGCAAGUUGCCCAGCACAUGGAACUUUCUGGAAGAGCUGCAGGCAAUAAGGGAAGCUCAGAGAAGAACCAGGUUUCGGGGUCAUUGAGAACUUUGCCGAUGAUUUUGGACUCCACCUGGGAAGCAAUGAAAGCCACUGAAAACUUUUAGGAAAGGUCAGACAGGUGUAUAGAAAGAGCCUCUGGCAGCCAGAUGGAAGGCAGCCCUGGAGGGGAUGAGAGUAGCCAGAGGUUAUUUGUCCAAGCGAGAGGUGAGGGUGCAAUACACUAUAAGGCGGCAGUAGGGGUGAAAGUAAUGGGAGGAGGGGAGAUUAGAGAAAUGCCAAUAGGUAGAACCAGUAGGAUUUAGUGACUGCUGGAGUGAGGGAGAGAAAUGAGAAUGAUUUCAGGUGACGGGGACGAGUGGGACCCCUGGGAUAGAAUUUAGACUGAGGGAGUUAGGGGUGACGGUGAAGACUAUGCCCCAUGACAGGCUUACACAGCCCAUUCACAUACUUAAUAUUUAUGUGUAUUUGCUCCCAGCUUUUUACAAUUUUUUUAAGCUUAAACCUUUAAUUCAUCUUGGACCCAUGAUGAUAAAAAAUAUGAAGUGAGGAUAUAAAGUGGUUCCCAUUUCUCAAACACCUAGUCAGUUGUCCCAGCACUAAUUAAUAAUGAAUGAAUAUAUUAAAAUUAUAUUUUUACAUAUAUAGCAUUGGGGUUCUAGAAUAUUUACGCUAGGACAACAUGACUUUUGUAGUCAUAUCUUUAUCAUGAGUUUGAAUAUUUGGCAGUUUGAUCUUUAGGAAACAGCAGGAGAAAAGAAGAAAUGAGAAUUGGAUUUUUGAUACAGUGCACAAGGUAUAUUGUGAGGCAUGUGGGUAAAGAGGCCUAAAAGUUAGAUAUGAUUCUAAAGCUCAGGGCAGAGGAUGGGACUAAAAACUCAGAUUUGAAGUAAAAGGCCUGGUGAGAAGCUAAAGCUGGGAGCAUAAGAUUGCCUAGAGAAGAUGAAGGAAAACUCACUCCUCCUGGGUUCCUUAUUUUAAGUGGUCUUCUAGCUAUAGCCCUUACCAGGGGAUGGAAUCCAGGGACCACCUGGCAUUUGCAUUGCAUUUUCUAUAUUACAUUCCAGGUACCCAGGACUCUGGAAUUAUCUGCCUAAAUGGUCCUGAGUCUACCGACAAGACCAGCAUUGGCUCUUUCCUAGGUCAGUCUCUACCAUCAGAGAAGUCUUAAAGAUGUUCAAAGGGUGACUGUUUACAGGAUAUAUGGGCAGCAUUUAAGUGUACAGCUGAGAGGACCCACACAUAUGAAGGGGGUCCUGCUGUUAUAAAAUGCAAUUCAGAGCAGAAGAGAUGUGGUAUAGGUAGGAAGUGUGAGAAUAUGAGCAUAAUAACUGGAAUAAUAAUCUCAACGGAUAUACUAAAUUGUAGGCUAGAUAUGGCUGAAAAGAGAUUCAAUGAAGCCAAGAGAUAAAUACAAAGAAAAAAGAGUUUAAAAACAUGGAGGGUUAGAGUUGAGAUGGUCUGGAGUUCUUGGAGAUAACAGAAUGAAAAAGGUACUAUAUUCCAAAGUGACAAUUGUUAAAAACUCUCUAGAAUCACUGCGCUGCGAGAUGCCUACCCUUGGAUCCAAGAAUCCCUAGGAAGAUUAGAAAGGGAAAAUAAAACCUACACAUAUAAUAAAAACAGACACAGAAAACUUCUUAAAAGCAUCCAGAAAAACAGACUGAUCAUCUAUAGAUAGAAGACCCAAUGGCUAAUGGCUUAACCACAACAAGAAAACAGAAGUAAAAAACAAUGCAGCAAAAACUGCAAUGUGCUGACAAAAAUUCUAUACCUGGCCAAAUUCUCUUUCAAAUAUGAGGAUGAAAUUAAAGUAAUUUUAAAUUAACAAAAUCUGGGAGCAUCUACCAUUAACACAUCAUCACUAACUGUAGAAGGAAAAUGAUUGCAACUGGAAUAUCUGAUUUCUAAAGAGUCAUGGUGGGAAAAAAAAGAAUCAUGGUGGGCAGAAUUCAGUAAACUUGAGAGCAAAUAUAAAUAAAUGUCUAUAUAAAACAAUGACUGAUUUAAUAUUAGAAAUCCAUGUAAUCUUAUGGAAAUAUAGAAAGUGCAUGCAAUAAAAUUCAGUAUGUGUUCAUUGGGGGGAAAAGCAUAGCAAUCUAGAAAAUUAAAGGAUUUUCCUUAACUUGAUAAAAGACAUUGACAACUGUCUGCAGUAAACAUCCUUUUGUGUAACAAAUAUUGAAAUAAUUCCUUUUAAGAGUAGAAGCAUGACAAGGAUGUUCUCUUUCAUUGUUCCUAUUCAACUUUGUCAGGAGGUGCAUGCCAAUACAGUGACACAAGAAAAAGAAAUAAAACCAUAAUUUUUUGUAGAUAAUAUGACACUCUACGUAGAAAACCCCCAAGAAUCUACAGAUUUGUUAUUAGAAUUAACAACAGUUGAGCAAAUAUGUUAGACAUAAAAAAGCCAACUAUAUUUAGUACGGUUUAUUCUAACAGAAUAAUAGCUGAUGUUUGGUAAAUCUGACUUCACUAAAACUAAGAAUUUCUGUCCAUCAAAAGAUAACAUGGAGGAGAAAAAUUCAAGCUCCAGAUUGGAAUGAUUAGUACAUAGACUAAUACAAAGUGUGUCAUUAAGUCAAUAAGGAAGUUACUAAAACAAAACAAAAAAACCCCAAGCCCCAUGAAGAACAAUAGAAAAAUGGAUUAAAAAGCUUGAAUGAGACAUAUAACACAAGGGUAAGUAGGAGUAGUCUGUAAAUAUGUGAAAAGAUACUAAUUUGCACUAAUAAUAGAGAAAGGCAAACUAAAAUCACAAUAAGAUACCUCUUCUCAAGCAUUAGACUAGCAAAAAAUGAGAAGUUGAACAUGACAAAGGGUUGGUAAAGUUGUGGAAGAAUGAGGACCCUUAUGCAUUGCUGGCACUAAGGGUCCUCAUUAAUUUUAUUCCUGGAUGUGAGUCCUAGAGAAUCUUUGCAAAGUGCAGGAACAUGUAUGAAUGCAAGAAUAUUUAUAGUGGUAACAUUUCUAAUAGCAAAUAGCUGUUAUUUCUCAGAAUGCCCCUGAAGCCUAGGGUGGGUAUAUAAAUAUAUAUUUGAGACAUUAUAUUCAGAGAUUGGAAUACUUGCUACAAUCAAAUGAACUCAGUUAUAUGUAUCAAGAUGCAUGAAUCUCAAAAGCAUGAUGUUGAACAAAAGAAGAAAGUUACAGGCUACAUACAUUAUGAUUCCAUUUAAAUAAAAUUGGAAAAUAGCAAAAAUAAAAAUAUAUUUUGCAUAAAGUCACACAUGUAUGUAAUAAAUGCUGUAUGGAAAAUAAUUACAAAAUUCAAAAUGGGGGUGUGUGGGGAUGGGAAAGAAGUACUGGAACUGGCAAUGUUCUAUAUAUUAUCUUGGAUGGUUCAUAGGUUUUCAUGUAAUAGUAAUUCUUUAUUACAUAUAUAGAGUAUAUACUUUUAUAUGCACAUAUCAUAAUAAAGCGUUCAACACAAUAAA
Ictidomys tridecemlineatus (thirteen-lined ground squirrel) is the source of this 5186-nucleotide non-coding RNA. NCBI's taxonomy places the organism in Eukaryota, Metazoa, Chordata, Mammalia, Rodentia, Sciuridae. The record is from RefSeq and is a predicted model, not a curated record.